This 476-nucleotide ribosomal RNA is filed under the name uncultured bacterium. RNAcentral describes it as "partial 16S ribosomal RNA". It matches the Rfam family "Bacterial small subunit ribosomal RNA", at positions 355 to 824 of the family's 1533-position model. The record is from RNAcentral.
UGGGGAAUUUUGGACAAUGGGGGAAACCCUGAUCCAGCCAUCCCGCGUGUGCGAUGAAGGCCUUCGGGUUGUAAAGCACUUUUGGCAGGAAAGAAACGUCGCGGGUUAAUACCCCGCGAAACUGACGGUACCUGCAGAAUAAGCACCGGCUAACUACGUGCCAGCAGCCGCGGUAAUACGUAGGGUGCAAGCGUUAAUCGGAAUUACUGGGCGUAAAGCGUGCGCAGGCGGUUCGGAAAGAAAGAUGUGAAAUCCCAGAGCUUAACUUCGGAACUGCAUUUUUAACUACCGGGCUAGAGUGUGUCAGAGGGAGGUGGAAUUCCGCGUGUAGCAUGAAAUGCGUAGAUAUGCGGAGGAACACCGACGGCGAAGGCAGCCUCCUGGGAUAACACUGACGCUCAUGCACGAAAGCGUGGGGAGCAAACAGGAUUAGAUACCCUGGUAGUCCACGCCCUAAACGAUGUCAACUAGCUGUU